Pteropus alecto (black flying fox) is the source of this 652-nucleotide long non-coding RNA. RefSeq lists it as uncharacterized. The transcript has 4 exons. The record is from RefSeq and is a predicted model, not a curated record. NCBI's taxonomy places the organism in Eukaryota, Metazoa, Chordata, Mammalia, Chiroptera, Pteropodidae.
GUCGGCUCUCGCGGUUCUUUGCUUGGGAAAGGUCUUGAUACGCUGCUACCUGUCUCCUUCCAGCUCCGCAUUCGGUGACGUCACAUGGGUUCUGCACACAAGCCAUGCAAUUCUGUGCUCCACCCUUGAGACAUGUCAUGUCACGUCACAGGACAGUUUCUUUGCAAGAUCAUCUGGCUUCGAAUAAAAUAAACUCGUCGUUAACAUUAUGGCUUCUGAGUUCUGGAAACUAAAGGCUUUCAGCAACCUGAGGAGUAUUUAUUCAAGAAAAAGAGCAGAAUCUUGGUAAGAACAAUCAGUUUUGUGGCAUUUUCACAUUCCUUUUCUGAUUCUUUCCCUCCCAAGCCCCAAACUGGCCUUGAAAACUAACAGUCCACAAUCUCAAUCUGGCAGCCAGUAGAGGGGGCAUAGUGGGGUUGGAGCUCCUUAAAAGCCCAUUCCCAGAAAAUUCGUUGUUAUUUGACCUGACUGGUGAUCCUCUGUAAGAUCCCACUUACAGGCUGUCUUUAUUUGACCAGACUCAGAGCUCGCCCAGUGUAAAACAGCCUUUUCCCAGGGGUGUUGUUGGAAAUAGUCAUUAGCAAUUGUUUAACAUUGCACAUGGAAAAUUCUCAAGCAUACACCAUAAGUUAGGCAAUGAAAUGAGUUUCAA